AUGGAGAGCUUUCAUGAUUUUAAGAUGACUAAGGACCUUCCUGUGGUUCAACAAGCUCAUGAGAUACAGUGCAUUGCCAAAGAGCUCGAACUCCUUAAGUGUGCCUUACCCGACAAGUUUGUGGCGGGUUGCAUUAUUGCUAAGUUGCCCCCUUCAUGGAGGAACUUCGCCACAGCUCUCAAACACAAGAGACAGGAGAUAUCAGUUGAAAAUCUGAUAGCGUCCCUUGAUGUUGAGGAGAAGGCUCGUGCUAAGGACACUACUGAGAAAGGAGAGGUAUUUCAAUCUCCCUCUUGGUGGAUUGAUACGGGUGCUAACGUUCAUGUGUGUGCUGACAUCUCUAUGUUCACUUCUUACCAGGCCGCACGGGAUUCCUCCGUCCUAAUGGGCAAUGGGUCACAUGCCUCUGUUCGUGGUGUUGGCACGGUAGAUCUGAAGUUCACUUCGGGGAAGAUCGUGCAGCUGAGGAACGUGCAGCAUGUCCCUUCUAUGAACAAGAAUCUUGUUAGCGGUUCCCUUCUCUGCAGAGAUGGGUUUAAGGUUGUGUUAGAAUCGAAUAAGGUAGUCAUUUCCAAGCAUGGACAAUUUAUUGGAAAAGGCUAUGAGUGCGGAGGCUUGUUCCGCUUUUCACUUUCAGAUUUCUGUAAUAAAUCCGUGAACCAUAUUUGUGGCGGUGUUAAUGACGAUACCAGUGUUUGGCAUUCUCGUUUAUGUCACAUUAAUUUUGGUUUGAUGUCUCGGUUAUCCAGCAUGAGUUUAAUUCCGAAAUUCACUAUUGCCAAAGGUUCUAAGUGCCAUAGUUGUGUGCAAUCAAAGCAACCUCGUAAGCCUCAUACGGCGGCCGAGGAGAGAAACUUGGCACCUCUAGAACUCAUACAUUCUGAUCUAUGCGAGAUGAAUGGUGUGUUGACAAAAGGUGAAAAGAGAUAUUUCAUGACAUUGAUUGAUGAUGCGACUAGAUUUUGCUAUGUUUACUUGUUGCGAACUAAAGAUGAAGCUUUAGACUACUUUAAAAUUUAUAAGGCUGAAGUUGAAAAUCAACUAGAGAGAAAGAUCAAGCGUCUUAGGUCGGAUCGUGGUGGAGAGUAUUUUCCUAAAAUCUUUGACGAAUUCUGUGAGGAACACGGUAUUAUUCAUGAGAGGACACCUCCCUACUCGCCCCAAUCUAAUGGGGUGGCCGAGAGGAAAAACCGCACUCUGUCUGACUUGGUGAAUUCCAUGCUCGACACUGCUGGUUUAUCAAAGGCAUGGUGGGGGGAGGCUUUGUUGAUUGCAUGUCAUGUCCUGAAUAGAGUUCCUAACAAGAAUAAAGAUAAAACCCCUUAUGAGGAGUGGGUUGGGAGAAAGCCAUCACUUUCGUAUUUGCGCACUUGGGGAUGCUUGGCAAAGGUCAACAUUCCCAUCCCAAAGAAACGCAAACUCGGACCAAAGACUGUGGAUUGCAUCUUUCUAGGUUAUGCUCAGCGGAGCAUUGGCUAUAGAUUUUUAGUAGUUAAAUCCGAGGUACCUGAUAUGCAUGUUGACACUAUAAUGGAAUCUCGUGAUGCAACAUUUUUUGAGAAUAUGUUUCCUAUGAAAGAUAUGCAUAGCACUGCUAGACUUUCUUCUGAGAUAAUUCCUGAAUCUAGUGCAUCUGAUGAUUAUUUUGAGCAACCACAUGAGAAGGAUGACAAUGAAGCUCCUACAAGGAGCAAGAGACAGAGGACUGCAAAGUCCUUUGGUGAUGAUUUCAUUGUGUACCUUGUGGAUGAUACUCCCAAGUCCAUUGCUGAGGCAUAUGCAUCACCAGAUGCAGAUGAUUGGAAAGAAGCUGUCCAGAAUGAGAUGGACUCGAUUCUUUCUAAUGGAACAUGGGAAUUAUCAGAGCGCCCCCAUGGCUGUAAGCCUGUGGGCUGCAAGUGGGUGUUCAAGAAGAAGCUAAGGCCUGAUGGUACUAUUGAGAAGUACAAGGCGAGACUUGUGGCGAAAGGCUACACACAGAGAGAAGGCGAAGAUUACUUUGACACCUAUUCACCUGUCGCAAGACUAACCACCAUUCGAGUACUACUUUCCAUGGCUGCCUCCUAUGGUCUUAUCGUUCAUCAAAUGGACGUAAAGACAGCUUUCCUUAAUGGAGAGUUGGAAGAGGAAAUCUAUAUGGAUCAGCCUGAUGGAUUUGUGGUAAAAGGUGAAGAGACAAAGGUGUGCAAGUUGCUAAAAUCUUUAUAUGGCCUGAAACAAGCACCUAAGCAAUGGCAUGAGAAGUUUGACAGAACUUUAACUUCUGUUGGCUUUGUCGUUAAUGAGGCUGAUAAGUGCGUAUACUAUCGCCAUGGUGGGGGCGAAGGUGUUAUAUUGUGUCUGUACGUUGAUGAUAUUCUCAUCUUUGGUACAAACAUGAAUGUGAUACUUGAAGUCAAGUCUUUCUUGUCAAAGUGCUUUGAUAUGAAAGAUCUGGGAGAAGCUGAUGUGAUCCUGAACAUCAAACUGAAUAAGAAUGAGAGUGGGAUUACUUUAUCGCAAUCCCACUAUGUUGAGAAGAUCUUGAGCCGGUUUGGCUUUAUUGAUGGCAAGUCUUCUCCAACACCUUAUGAUCCCAGUGUGAUAUUGCGUAAGAACAAGAACGAACCAACAGACCAACUGAGAUAUUCUCAGAUCAUAGGUUCACUCAUGUACUUAGCGAGCGCGACAAGACCUGACAUCUCUUUUGCUGUGAGCAAGUUGAGUAGGUUCAUGUCAAACCCGGGUAUUGAUCAUUGGCAUGCACUUGAAAGGGUCAUGCGCUAUCUAUGUGGUACAAUGAGUUACGGGAUUCACUAUUCUGGGCACCCAGCUGUGCUUGAAGGAUAUAGUGACGCAAACUGGAUCUCUGAUGUAGAUGAUAUCAAAGCCACUAGUGGGUAUGUGUUUACCUUUGGAGGUGGCGCCGUAUCAUGGAGAUCAUGUAGGCAAACCAUAUUGACGAGGUCAACUAUGGAAGCAGAACUUACUGCUUUAGACACAGCCACUGUAGAGUCAGAAUGGCUGCGUGAGCUCUUGAUGGACUUGCUGGUGGUUGAAAAACCUGUGCCGGCCAUCCUCUUGAAUUGUGACAACCAAACAGUUAAAAGACGUUUGAAGUCUGUCAGGAAAUUGCGAAACUCCGGAGUAAUAACUGUUACGUAUAUUCAAACAGACAAAAACCUGGCAGAUCCCUUUACUAAGGGGCUAUCACGUGUGAUAGAUAGUGCAUCGAGGGAGAUGGGUUUGAGACCCAUAGAUGUUAUGCCAUAG
RNAcentral lists this ribosomal RNA (3252 nucleotides) under Triticum aestivum (bread wheat). RNAcentral describes it as "partial small subunit ribosomal RNA". The record is from RNAcentral. Lineage: Eukaryota; Viridiplantae; Streptophyta; Magnoliopsida; Poales; Poaceae.